CCCGGCUGCGGGGGGCUCUGCUCCCUGUGCGGAUGAGGGGCGGCGUGGGCAGAGCACACCGAGAUUUCAGGGCCCUUGAAGCCAUGGCAGGUGACAUCAGCCUUGAGGUGGGCAGCCUGGCCCGUCAAACCCUGGACCUUCUCAGGGCAGGAGACCGUGCCCCAGUGUCCGUGUUCGUGAGGCUGAGAGAUCAGCUCCACAGGGCAUGGAGGUCACGGCCUCGUCCAUGGGGCUGUGCCUGGCUGUGCUGCUGGAGCUCCACUGAGACGUGAUCUGGGAGCCUCUGUCUACUGUGGCCGCCUGAUCCAGCAGGCAUUUUCCAUUUAUUUCCAGUCUGUCCUUUUGGUGUUUUCGGUUUUCUGUAGUGUUUAAAUAUAGGAUGUGUUCUAAGAAA
Non-coding RNA from Cyanistes caeruleus (blue tit), 394 nucleotides. Lineage: Eukaryota; Metazoa; Chordata; Aves; Passeriformes; Paridae. The record is from RefSeq and is a predicted model, not a curated record.